Molecule: ribosomal RNA, 253 nt
Filed under: uncultured bacterium
Lineage: Bacteria
Description: partial 16S ribosomal RNA
Rfam family: Bacterial small subunit ribosomal RNA
Source: RNAcentral
GACGUAGGGCGCGAGCGUUGUCCGGAUUUAUUGGGCGUAAAGAGCUCGUAGGCGGCUUGUCGCGUCGUCCGUGAAAACCUGGGGCUCAAUCCAGGCUUGCGGUCGAUACGGGCAGGCUAGAGUUCGGUAGGGGAGACUGGAAUUCCUGGUGUAGCGGUGAAAUGCGCAGAUAUCAGGAGGAACACCGGUGGCGAAGGCGGGUCUCUGGGCCGAUGACUGACGCUGAGGAGCGAAAGCGUGGGGAGCGAACAGG